GAGGCGCGGCGGGCGAUGGAGGCAGGCGGCGAGGCGCGGGCCGGGCUCGGGUUGUUUUCUCGCUUCCGCAGCGCGUUGGGAGCCCGCGGCCUGCAGGACAUCAGCGGCGACGGCGGGGUGCGCAAGCAGGUGCUGCGCCCCGGCACCGGGCAGCCCGUGCCGCCGGCUGCCACCGUGGCGGUGAAGUACUCCGGGUAUCUGGAGCAUAUGGAGAAACCCUUCUGCACAAACUGCACCAAGAAGCUCCCGAGGCUGAUGAAGCUUGGAAAAGACAUUACACUGGGGGGUCUGGAAAUUGGUGUGCUCACCAUGAAGAAGGGAGAGGUGGCAAGAUUUAUCUUCUCGCCGAGUUAUGCCUAUGGCCAGCAGGGCUGCCUUCCUCUGAUCCCCCCAGAUGCCACGGUCUUAUUUGAAGUGGAGUUGAUAGACUUCCUGGACUCUGCUGACUCUGACACAUUCUUUGCGUUGACAGCUGAGCAGCAGGAUACAUUUCCGCUACAAAAGGUGUUGAAAGUGGCAGGCAUGGAGAGAGAGUUUGGCAAUUAUCUCUUCCGUAAGCAGUACUUUGAGGGUGCCAAAGACAGAUACAAAAGGGCAUACUCCAUCCUUGGUCGCAACCCUUCCACUGAGGCAGAGCAGUGUCAGAUUGAUGCUUCCAAGUUGCUGGUGCUACUGAAUCUCUCAAUUACCUACCUGAAGCUGGAAAGUCCUGCCCGAGCUCUGAUGUAUGGGGAAAAAGCCUUGGAGAUUGACGAAAGAAACGUCAAGGCGCUGUUCAGGUGUGGCCAGGCUUGUCUCUGCAUGACAGAAUACGAAAAAGCUCGGGACUUCCUGAUCAGAGCUCAGCAUAUAGAGCCGUUUAACCACGAUAUUAACAAUGAACUGAAGAAGUUGGCAAGCUACUACAAAGACUACUUAGACAAGGAGAAAGAAAUGUGCUGCCGAAUGCUUGCUGCUCUCAACUCUUCUUCAUGACCAGGAAUAAAGUCUGGUUUCUUGGAGGAGCAUUUGAGCAUGGAGAUCUGAGGCAUUGUGUAUCGUCUUGAGCAUGGAGGAUGUUUUUCACUCCUUGUGGUGUUCAGUGGACUUCCCCAGCUGAUGAAAGGAACGGUCCUUGGGCAAAAAGGAGACCUACCCCUGGGCACAUGGACAUUUUGGUGUUGGAUCUGUGUUUUGGGAGAAGCAUAAUGUGGAGGUUCUCUUGGUAUAUAAACAACGUGAUUUUCCUGAAUAUGGUUUAUUUAGCAUGUUCUAGGGCUGUUUCUAGAAGAACCAAGCCUUGUCUUCUUCCAUGAACAUUCCCUGAAGAAUACUUUCUUGACAUCCUACCUCUUGCGGAUUAUGGGUUGCUUUAAGGGAAUCUGAAAAUACAAGUAGGAUGCCAUGAAGUUUUGUAUUGCUUAUACAGAUUGUUCUUUAAAAGGUUAUGCUUAAUAUUGUUUUUGUUCUGAGAAAAUAAACCAAUCUGAGAACUA
Molecule: RNA transcript, 1475 nt
Organism: Gallus gallus (chicken)
Lineage: Eukaryota; Metazoa; Chordata; Aves; Galliformes; Phasianidae
Gene: FKBP6
Gene name: FK506 binding protein 6
Exons: 9
Source: RefSeq, a predicted model, not a curated record